CCUACGGGAGGCAGCAGUGAGGAAUAUUGGUCAAUGGACGAGAGUCUGAACCAGCCAAGUAGCGUGAAGGAUGACUGCCCUAUGGGUUGUAAACUUCUUUUAUAAAGGAAUAAAACGAGGCACGUGUGCGUUUUUGCAUGUACUUUAUGAAUAAGGAUCGGCUAACUCCGUGCCAGCAGCCGCGGUAAUACGGAGGAUCCGAGCGUUAUCCGGAUUUAUUGGGUUUAAAGGGAGCGUAGGUGGAUUGUUAAGUCAGUUGUGAAAGUUUGCGGCUCAACCGUAAAAUUGCAGUUGAAACUGGUUUUAUUGAGUGAGUGAGAAGUAUGCGGAAUGCGUGGUGUAGCGGUGAAAUGCAUAGAUAUCACGCAGAACUCCGAUUGCGAAGGCAGCAUACCGGCGCUCAACUGACGCUCAUGCACGAAAGUGUGGGUAUCGAACAGGAUUAGAUACCCCUGUAGUC
Molecule: ribosomal RNA, 460 nt
Filed under: uncultured bacterium
Lineage: Bacteria
Description: partial 16S ribosomal RNA
Rfam family: Bacterial small subunit ribosomal RNA
Source: RNAcentral